RNAcentral lists this ribosomal RNA (253 nucleotides) under uncultured bacterium. RNAcentral describes it as "partial 16S ribosomal RNA". It matches the Rfam family "Bacterial small subunit ribosomal RNA", at positions 524 to 776 of the family's 1533-position model. The record is from RNAcentral.
UACAGAGGUGGCAAGCGUUGUUCGGAAUCACUGGGCAUAAAGGGCGCGUAGGCGGCGAUACAAGUCAGGUGUGAAAGCCCUCAGCUUAACUGGGGAAUUGCGCCUGAAACUAUAUUGCUUGAGUGUAGGAGGGGAGAGUGGAACUCCUAGUGGAGCGGUGAAAUGCGUAGAGAUUAGGAGGAACGCCGGUGGCGAAAGCGACUCUCUGGCCUACUACUGACGCUGAUGCGCGAAAGCUAGGGGAGCAAACGGG